Molecule: unclassified non-coding RNA, 240 nt
Filed under: soil metagenome
Description: partial contains 5.8S ribosomal RNA, internal transcribed spacer 2, and large subunit ribosomal RNA
Source: RNAcentral
AACCUAGCACACCUGCGGUGUGUACCUGCGGAGGGAUCAUUACCGAGUGAGGGCCCUCCGGGUCCAACCUCCCACCCGUGUUUAACGAACCUUGUUGCUUCGGCGGGCCCGCCUCACGGCCGCCGGGGGGCACCCCGCCCCCGGGCCCGCGCCCGCCGAAGACACCUGUGAACGCUGUCUGAAGUUGCAGUCUGAGACACUAGCUCAAUCAGUUAAAACUUUCAACAACGGAUCUCAGAU